RNAcentral lists this ribosomal RNA (200 nucleotides) under Staphylococcus aureus. RNAcentral's name for it is "partial 23S ribosomal RNA". It matches the Rfam family "Bacterial large subunit ribosomal RNA", at positions 2726 to 2925 of the family's 2925-position model. The record is from RNAcentral. Lineage: Bacteria; Bacillati; Bacillota; Bacilli; Caryophanales; Staphylococcaceae.
GUGCCAACGGCAUAGCUGGGUAGCUAUGUGUGGACGGGAUAAGUGCUGAAAGCAUCUAAGCAUGAAGCCCCCCUCAAGAUGAGAUUUCCCAACUUCGGUUAUAAGAUCCCUCAAAGAUGAUGAGGUUAAUAGGUUCGAGGUGGAAGCAUGGUGACAUGUGGAGCUGACGAAUACUAAUCGAUCGAAGACUUAAUCAAAUU